RNAcentral lists this ribosomal RNA (418 nucleotides) under uncultured bacterium. RNAcentral's name for it is "bacterial SSU rRNA". It matches the Rfam family "Bacterial small subunit ribosomal RNA", at positions 356 to 772 of the family's 1533-position model. The record is from RNAcentral.
AGGGAAUAUUGGUCAAUGGAUGCAAGUCUGAACCAGCCAUGCCGCGUGCAGGAUGAAGGCCUUCUGGGUUGUAAACUGCUUUUAUCUGGGGAUAAAAAGGGGGUGCGCCCCCAACUGAAGGUACCAGAUGAAUAAGCCGCGGCGAACUACGUGCCAGCAGCCGCGGUAAUACGUAGGUGGCAAGCGUUAUCCGGAAUUACUGGGCGUAAAGCGCACGCAGGCGGUCUUUUAAGUUUGACGUGAAAGCUCCCGGCUUAACUGGGAGAGGUCGUUGAAUACUGGGAGACUUGAGUUUAGGAGAGGGGUGUAGAAUUCCCGGUGUAGUGGUGGAAUGCGUAGAUAUCGGGGGGAAUACCAGUGGCGAAAGCGGCACCCUAGCCUUUGACUGACGCUCAUGUGCGAAAGCGUGGGGAGCGAA